UACGUAGGGUGCGAGCGUUAAUCGGAAUUACUGGGCGUAAAGCGUGCGUAGGCGGUUCGUUAAGUUCGUUGUGAAAGCCCCGGGCUCAACCUGGGAAUGGCAAUGGAAACUGGCGGGCUGGAGUAUGGCAGAGGGGGGUGGAAUUCCGCGUGUAGCAGUGAAAUGCGUAGAGAUGUGGAGGAACACCGAUGGCGAAGGCAGCCCCCUGGGCUAACACUGACGCUCAUGCACGAAAGCGUGGGGAGCAAACAGG
Molecule: ribosomal RNA, 253 nt
Filed under: uncultured bacterium
Lineage: Bacteria
Description: partial 16S ribosomal RNA
Rfam family: Bacterial small subunit ribosomal RNA
Source: RNAcentral